GCUAUGAAAAUAUGAUUCUACAAUCAGUUUAUUUAUAGUUUUGGCAUGUGAACAUCCAAACCAUGUUCAUCACAGAACACAAUAUGUACCUAGUUUACUUGAGUUUUCCAAUAUUUUUUGAAUAACUGCACAUUAAUUACCUUGUUCAACUGAUCAUUCCAUCAUUUUGUGGUGUGCUGCGUCUAUUCUACACACAAAAAAGAUGGGAAACAACAACGUUGCUGGUUUUCUCCAUCAUAGAGGGAGUCUUCCAUUUUCAUCCAAUAUUCAACUGGGAACAGAUGCUACCAUCAACAUGAAGAAAUCUAUCUCUCCCUGUGUUGGAGCAUUCAUCGAAGACGCAGAAGUUUUAUACACCGUUGAAGGGUCAAAGUGCAAACUCAUGUUAGGAAGGACGGUUUGCUUUGACGGCAAUGUCGACGUGGUAUCGUUCCUUCUCCAUGACAGCAUAAUACGUUCAGACGAAGAAGACCUACACCUGCCGAUAUUCAAAUUGGAAACUGGUUUGCUUCACGUGCCCGAUGCGUUUACGUGUUCCAUCGCGUGGACGAAGACAAGGAAGAACGUUGAUGCAUGGGGUGGGGCUAAGGACACCAAAGUUUACUUGUAUGGCACUGCAAACAGGUGUGGUCUUCUUGUUUUUGAGUGCAAGAAAAACGAUUCUCAUGAAGCUGAUGCUAAGGCAGUGACUAUAGCACACUAUUUUGUUAGUAGUAAAGGAUCAGUGGCUGUUAACAGAUCAAGUGAAACAACGGAUAUUGGAUUUUCUGUUGUGACAAAGGUUGGAGUCUGUGAUGGAAAGUUUGAUAUAACAGUGGAGGGUCCUGAACGACACCCUGUUUCUGCAUUAUUAUACAUGUUUGGUGAAGUGAGUAGAAGUGGGAUUUGGAAGCCAAGCAUGUGCCCUCAUUGUCGUAACAUUCAGAGGGAGCAUAGCAGAAUGUUUUUGCAGUCUGACAGUGAAGACGAUGUUGUUCCCUUUCCACCACGUCUUGGUAGCCAGCGAAAUGCAGCAACCAUUGCCAACAAUGGAAGGUUUAGAGGGCAUGCUAAUGGUAGUUCCAUCAGAUGCAAAUAUUUCUAUGGUUUUAAUUGAGUGAAGAUCCUAACUUUGUGUGUUUCUCUCUCAAUAUAUAUGUUCAAUAAUAUGUUAGUAUUGUAGAAUUUUAAGUUUGAAUGUACUAGAAAAUGUAUCUCAAGUCUGAAGAUAAAAAUGUCUUGUAUUUUGGACAAGAGUUUCAACUAUCAUAUGAUUGCAGACAAAGAAUCACAAAUUGUAAUCCAAUCCUUUUUCAUGUUCAAAAUAGGUAAUAUAAAAAGGAGCAUUAUUCUUCGAUACUCUUUCAUAUUUUCUAUACCACUUUUCUUUUUUUAGUAUCCCAUUUGAUUCUUUAAUCUUCCACUUCUUAUACUCAUUUAAGUACAGCAGCCUAACUUAUGAUAACCACGUGUAAAUUUGACUUUUAUAUCUAAUGUGGGUGAUGCACGAAUAUAUUGAAAGACAAAAGCGGUUUGGAAAAAUAUGACAGAAUUAGAUGCUACUGAAUUAUAAUAAUAAGCUGAAGAACAGUGCUACCAACUGGGAACAUAUGCUACCAUCAACAUGAAGACAUCUAUCUCUCACAGGUUUGAAGCAGGAUAUGCCGAAAAGCAGAAGUUUUAUACACUGUUGAAGGGUCAAAGUGCAACCUCGCGUUACAAAGAUACGUUUUGAAUGACGGCAAUGUCAACUUGGUAGUGUUCGUACUCCAUGACAGCAUAAUAUUCAGAGAUUGUAUUAACAUUCAGAGAGAACAUUGCAGAAUGCAGUCUGAUAGUGAAGACAACGAUGGUGUUCCUUUACCACCACCUCUAGAUACUCAGCAAAAUGUAACAUCCAUUGCCAAUGAUGAAAGAUUCAAAUGACAUGCUAAUGGAAGUAUUAUCAAAUGCAAAAAUUUCUACGGUUUUAACUGAGAAAAAACCCUAAUUUCGUGUAUGUAUAUAUAUUUUUAUGACCAUGUUAAUGUUGCCUAUUAUAUAUGUAAGAAAUUGUGAAUUUCUUACUUUUAUAUUAAAAAAGUAAAAAUAAAAUUAUUAAAGUAAAAGAUAGAUAAAGCUAAAUUAACAAAAUAUUUGUUGAAUAAAAAAGGGUCCACUCUAUCACAAGAACUUUAUUGAUAGAUUAUAAUGGAUAAGUUUGUCUGAAGGGAGCUCAUUAAUUAUUGUUGUUGUUUUGAACCCCACACAAUUCUUCCUUAAUGAUUUCAGAUUUCAAAGAAAUCAAACCACAUGAAAGUUAUAUUUCCAACAUAAAUAAGAUCCACUAGAUUUUUUAUACCACAUUGUAUUGAGAAAUUUUCUUUUAUUUUUGUGGUUGCAUUAUUUGGAGUAUGAAACAUGAGGCAUGCACACGCAUGAAAGAUAAAAUGCUAACAAAAGAUAUCGAAACAUUGUAAUAAUAUAAAGUCCAAACUACAGAAAACCCACUGCCAUGGAACUAGCAACAUCAAAUCAAUAUCAUCUCUAUUAUUCUUUAUUCUUCCACUUGUUUGAUUCUUUUUUAUGAAGCGGAGUGGGGAAUCUUUCCUUUGAAUUUGUUUGAAUCCAAUGAAAGAAAAUAAGAAAAAUAUUAAAUUAAUGGAUGAGUGUAUAUUUAUGUCUUUAUGUUAGGUUUAAUAUCAAAAUUUUAAUUGAUUUUGUGUUUAAAAUAUUGAUUUAAAUAAGAUUUGUGAUAAUUGAAGUUAUUAAGUUUGUGAAAUAAAAUAUCUUAAAAGGGAUAGACUUUUAAUCAUAUAGACUCAACUGAGUUUCAAUUGUGUCGUCAUGAUUUUUGACUGGCAAUGUUGUCUCAAUUAAAUUUCGAUGAGAAUUGACUCGAGAGAGUUUUAGCCGUGGUGACCUCCUGUCAAAUUUGACCAACUUUUUAGUGGAGUCGACUUGAUUGAAUUUCGAUUAAGACCAACUUGGCCAAAGUUUAGGGGGACCAACUCCACCAAGUUUUGGGCGUAUUCAUCCUAGUCGAAUCCUAGUCGAAUUCGUUCUGGGUCAACUUAAGUGAAUCCAAUUGAAUUUUGAUCGGGAUAGACCUCGAUUGAGUUUCGAUCAUGGCCAUUACAAUCGAAUUUGACCGAAUUUCAAUUGGAACUGACUCAACCAAGUUUUGAUUGUGGACAUUCCAAACGAAUUCGAUCGAAUUUUGGUCCAAACCUGUUUCAAUCUUUUGCAAGACCUACCUCGUCUCAAUCUUUUGUCUAUCCUAGCUUGUCUCAACCUUAGGUUCGACCUUACCUUUUCAACCUUCAAUCUUACAUGACUUGUAUUAACCACUAAUCCAACCUAACUCGUCUCGACAUUUGAUUCCAAGUUAAUUCGUCUUAACAUUUGAUCUAAUCCGUCUCAAACUUGAGUUAUAAAGUCCAAACACUACAAAAAAACAAACAUCAAUUGUUCAUGUCGAUCAUAUUGCUUAAUAGUGUGCCCUCAUAAAUCGCAUUAACAAGAUCAAGAUCAAAACCUUCUUUAUUCUUUCACAAGAUCCAUAUCGUCCCUAUUAUUCGUUAUUCUUUCACUUUGUUUGAUUCAUUUCUGUCUAGUGGGAAAUAUUUUCUGUGUAUUUUUGAAUGUACCGAAAGAAAAUGAGGUAAAAUCAAAAUAAAAUUGAUGCAAUACUGCAGUCAUUCAUGCCAUAAUAUAGUUUAUGAUGGAAACAAUAAAGAGAAUAUAUAUAAUUAAUUCAGAGACACGAUCUUAGCAUUAGCUACCUUCAAACAUGAGCAAUUAAAAAUAAAUGUGAGAAACUAUAAUUGACAAGAACAGAUAAUAUUACGAAGAAAUAAAUAAAUUAAAAUGGCCUAUAUAUUAUAAAACAGUAACACUUAGAUGCAAGUGUAUUAUAUAAAUGCACAUAACAUUGGCUUACUGGGUUUUAUUUUUUUUCACACUUUGUGGUAGUAGAAUGUACAUGUUAUAGAGCACCGCCAAUUUUUAUUUUUUUUAAAAGGGAAUUAGAAGCUUCUUUAUUAAAAAAGUAAAAAAAAAAAAAACGUGUUUCGAAGGAGACUGGUAAACUUUAAAUUGAUGUAAUUAAUAAUAAUGUUGGUGGUGAGUGAUUAUUAUCUUGAAUUUAUGAUAAAAAAAACAUUUCGAUAUAGUUUCAUAGUUUUAUUUUAGUAAAAUUAAUCAUUGAUUAUAUUUUACUUAGUUUCUGUUAAAAUAUAUUAAUUUAAGAUGAAAUAUUGAAAUACUUGUACAUGUCUUAAAUUAAACUUUCAAUGUAAACUUUACAUAAAGAUAAAACUAGUGACAUGGUCCAGUUUUUAGCAAUUGCAUAUACGAAAUUUAAGCCAAUAAUAUUCAAAGUAAAAUAUUCUUUUAACAAAGCUUUUGUAAAUUAUACAUUCAUGUGUGAUAACUGUGGUUAAUAUAUAAUAAUAAAAUAUUGAAUGUUGUAGAAAUUUAAAGGAGUUCUGAAAGGACAACUCCUCAUGCUAAAAAUAUAAUUUUUAAACAUAAAUAUAUUUAGUUGCAGAGUAUAUUUUAUUCAUUUAAAAAUAUUAUAAAUUCAAUUUUCAAUUAUAAAAAAUACUGAGAGAAAGUGAUUUUAAAACUAGAAUUAAGUUGUGCUAAAAAAACCACCCCAAAACUGGUUUUUAAACUAUACUGUUAAAGAAAAAAACUAACACUGCGUUAUAGAAUCGAAAAGUAGAUGGAUCAAGAAUCAAAGAAACAAGAAGUGGAAGAAUAAAAAACAGCAUAAACACCAUAAAAAGAAAAGUGGUUUAGAGAGAAUUAGAUGCUAGUGAAUUAUAAUAAUAAGCUGAAGAACAAAGCUUCCCUCAGUGAGAGUGAAAAUAUGAUUCUAUAAUCACUUUAUUUAUAGUUUUGGCAUGCGAACAUCCCAACCAUGCUCAUCAUAGAACACAAUAUGUAUCUAGUUUACUUGACUUUUCCAUUACAUUUUGAAUAAUUGCACAUUACCUUCUUAAACUGAUCCAUUCCAUCAUUUUGUGGUGUGCUGCAUCUAUUCUACACACAAAAAGAUGGGAAACAACAACGUUGGUUGUUCUCUUCGUCUAAGAGGAAGUCUUCCAUUUCCAUCCCAUAUUCAACUGGGAUCAGAUGCUACCAUCAACAUGAAGACAAUCUCUCGCAGGACUAGUGAUGGAACAUAUGACGAAAACGCAGAAGUUUUAUACACCGUUGAAGGGUCAAAGUGCAAACUCGUGUUCAGAAGGAAGGUUAUGUAUGACGGCGAUGUCAACGCGCUAGGGUUUGAACUCCAUGACAGCGUAAUAUGUUCAGGCCAAAAGAAACUAACCAUUCCGAUAUUCAAAGAUGGAACUGAUUUGCUUAACGUGUUACUUUUGGAUAAGUAUUCCAACGCGUGGACGAAGACAGGGAAGAACUUUGAUGCAUGCGGUGGGGUUACGGACACCAAAGUUUGCUUGUAUGGCACUGCAAACAGGUGUGGUCUUCUUGUUUUGGAGUGCAAGAAAAACAAUUAUCAUGAACGUGAUGCUAAGGCAGUGACUAUAGCACACUAUUUUGUUAGUAGUAUCGGAUCAGUGGGUGUUAACAGAUCAAGUGAAACAACAGAUAUUGGGUUUUCUGUUGUGACAAAGAUUCGAAGGUGUGAUGGAAACUAUGACAUAACAGUGGAGGGUCCUGAACGACACCCUGUUUUUGCAUUAUUACACAUGUUCGAUGAAGUUAAUAGAACUGGGAAUUGGAAGCCAAGCAUGUGUCCUCAUUGUCGGAACAUUCAGAGGGAGCAUAGCAGAAUGUUUUCUCAGUCUGAUAGUGAAGACGAUGUUGUUUCCUUACCACCACGUCUUGGUAACCAACGAAAUGCAGCGACCAUUGCAAACGAUGGAAGGUUCAGAGGGCAUGCUAAUGGUAGUUACAUCAGAUGCAGAAAUUUCUAUGGUUUUAAUUGAGUGAAGACCCUAAUUCUGUGUGUUUCUCUCUCAAUAUAUAUGUAUGUUGAAUAAUGUGUUAGUUUGUAGAAUUUUAAGAAAGUUUGAAUGUACUACAAAAUGUAUAACUCAAGCUAGAAAGAAAAUAAUAGAAAGAGAGAUGACCCCAAUUUCCAAAUUCUCUUCCUCAUAUUCUAUAUUUUAUUUUAUACUACAAAAUAUUACAUUUACUAGAUAUCACCAACAAAGUGGUGUCACAGCCGGGUUCUUACACCAAGAAAAAAACAUCAAAGUAGGAUAUAACGGGCAUAAAUACUUCAACAUCUACAACAAAAUUCAUGGCAAUGUCCAACUCUUUAUUCGAAUGAGAAAAAUAUGGUUUUGGAGUAUUAAAUUGGAAAGUUUUGUUUACAUCUUUGGAUGUGACUCGCACAAACAAAAUAUGAUGAUGAAGCCACUGCAUCUGCACAACAAGCAGCAGUGGAAAGAAAUAAAAUAACAGAUUUUGGAGUUCCUUAUUCAAAGAGGAUUAUCAGUAGCCAGACUUCCAUGGAUAAUGAAAGCAAAAACAACCAAGGAAGCAUAAGACACUCUUUAAUAAGAGUUUGAAGGAUAUUCAAAGGUGAGAAAACAGUCAAACUUCAUUCUCUCAAGAGAGAUUUAUUUAGGAUGAAGAAAUGAAAGAAAAGGAAAUUUGCAUGAAUACUUUAACAAAUUAUCUGAAUUGGUGAAUCAAAUGAAGUACAAUGAAGAUACAAGAUGAUAGAAGAAUAACGGAUAAAAUUCUUAUUAAGUUGACUGAAAAUUUGACCCUAUGGUGAUUGUUAUAGAAAAAACCAAGGAUUUGUCACUCAUGACUUAUAGGGUUGAUGAGGUCACUUAGAUCAUAGGAGCAAAGAUUGUUGUCAUAUUGAAAAGUCAAUCCAAAUCAUGUUCUCACAUCAAUGAAUAUUGGUGAGUCUUCUAAAGGUGGCAGAUUUAACAGAGAAAGAGGAAGAAAUGUGGAAGAGGAGGAUACUACAGACUGUGGUGAAAUAGGAAUAAUGAAGAAUCAAACAAGUGGUGUGGAAUUUGUAAGAAGAAUGAUCAUGAAGAAAAUAAUUGUUGAAAUAAAGGCAAGCCAUUAUGCUAUAUAAUUGUAGAAGGUUUGGGCAUAUCAAUUUAAUAAUCUAGCUAGUAUCUAAUUCUCUCUGAUAUUUUCUAAACCACUUUUCUUUUUUUACCCAUUUGAUUCUUUAAUCUUCCACUUCUUAUACUCAUUUAAGUACAGCAGCCUAACUUAUGAUAAUCCCUAUUCAAUAUAUUUGUUUUUAUAAAUAAAUAAAAAACAUAAUUUUUUAUUUUAGGUAAUGCUCAAGUAAAUCACAGAUACAUAAAUGUUGCCUAAACAUAGGUAAGAAAAUUUAAAAAUGAGAAUGAAGAAGAUGAAUGUGAUGAAAAAUAUAUAAUUCUUCCACUAUUUUACCUUCUGUGGCAGCGUGGUGGCAUGCCAACUAUAUUAUCAGGCUGGUAAAACCUCUGCUACUCUCACUUGGAAGACCAAUAUCUGUUGUUUCAGUUUAUCUGUUAAAAGUUGUUUCGAUAUUCUUAGCAAAAGUAGUAGUGCCUUAGUGUCAGCUCCUUACCAAUUUUUACACUCUUCAACUCCAAAACAACAAGAAUAGUAUUAUUAUAGAAUUAAUCAUCAUUGCACUCUCUUUCAUAUUUUCUAACCCACUUUUAUUUUUCAUUUGAUUCUUUAAUCUUCCACUUGCUACACUCAUUUAAGUACAAGACCUCGCCUAUGAUGAUAACCAAAUCUAAAUUUGACUUUUAUAUCUAAUGUGGGUAUGCACCAAUAUAUUGAAUGUAUUAUUUUGUUAGAGUAAAAGUAUGAAUGUGAAAUCUCAUAUAUAAUAGAAUGGAAAAGUAGAUGAAUCAAGAAUGAAGCAAGUGGAAGAAUAAAAAACAGCAUAAACACUAGAAAGAGAAAAGUGGUUUGGAAAAAUAUGACAGAGAAUUAGAUGCUACUGAGCUGAAGAACAACGCUUCCUUAUAGUGAGCCAAAAUAUGAUUAUAUAAUCAAUGUAUUUAUAGUUUUGGGAUAUGAACAUCCCAACCAUGCUCACCACAGAGCACAAUAUGUACCUAGUUUACUUGAGUUUCCCAUUAUUAUAUUUUUGAAUAACUUCACAUUACCUUCUUCGACUGAUCCAUUCCAACAUUUUGUGGUAAGCUGCAUCUAUUCUACACAUAAAAAAGAUGGGAAACAACAACCUUGCUGGUUUUCUCCGUCAUAGAGGGAGUCUUCCACUUUCAUCCCAAAUUCAACUGGGAACAUAUGCUACCAUCAAUAUGAAGACAUUUAUCUCUCGCAGGUUUCCUAAUGGAACAUAUAUCGAAAACACAGAAGUUUUAUACACCGUUGAAGGAUCAAAGUGCAAACUCACGUUAGAAAAAGAUGUUCCCACUGACGGCAAUGUCAGAGUAGUAUCGUUCGUACUCCAUGACAACAUAAUAUGCUCAAACUUCCAAAGCCUAUCCCUGGUGAUAUUCAAAAGGAAAAUCUGCGGUUUUCUUGAAACGUACGAGUCUGGCAUUCCCAUCCCAUGGACGAAGACAAAGAAGAACGUUGAUGCAAGGGAUGGUGUUACGGACACCAAAGUUUACUUGUAUGGCAAUGCAAACAGGCGCGGUCUUCUUGUUUUGAAGUGUAAGAAAAACGAUGAUAGUUUUGAUGUUGUCAAGGCAGUGACUGUGGCACACUAUUUUGUUAGUAGUAACGGAUUUGCGGCUGUUAACCGAACAAGUGAAACAACAGAUAUAUCAAAUAUUGGGUUUUCUGUUGUGGCAAAAGUUGGAGUUUGUGAUGGAAAGUUAGAUAUAAGUGUGGAGGGUCCUGAACCACACCCUGUUUCUGGAUUACUAUACAUGUUCGAGGAAGUGAAUGUUGUAGUUGUAAACUAAACUGACGUGUGUCAGUUAUUUUGCUUCACAUACUCUGUAUAUAUACACCUUUCUCUAUCUCUCUUUUAUCAAUAAUAGAAAUACUUUUUCAGUCUCUUCCAGUGUUACACGUUAUCUCUUUUUUCAUUCUCUGCAUCACGUUCUGUCUCUCUCACACACUGCCACGCUAUCCGCUAACAGUGGUAUCAAGAGCUGCGUUCGAAAGCCUGGUGGAUCAGUAGAAACAGAUUAAGAAGAAAUGGCUGGAGUAAUACACAACAAUCUCCCGGUGUUUGAUGGAAAAGGAUUCGAUGACUGGUGCGUCAAGAUGGACGCUAUUCUCGGCUUUCAAGAAGUGGACAAGGUGGUCAAGAAGGGGUUCAAGGAACCAGCAAAGGGCGAUUCUGAAGAGGCAAAGCGUCAAUACAAAGAAAACAAAAGAUUAGAUUGUAAAGCCCGCAUGUUGCUGCAUCAAUGCGUGUCAGCCACUAUCUUCCAGAAAGUUUCAAAGGCAGUCACGGCGAAGGAAAUUUGGGAUAUUCUUCAAGACGGCUACGGCAACACAGGUAAGGUCAAGAAACUUAAGCUACAGUCGCUUAAACGUCAAUAUGAACUCUUGGGCAUGGAAGAACAAGAAUCCGUUGUUGACUAUAUCGGAAGAAUCCAAAUGAUAGUAAACGCCAUGAGAGCGUGCGACAAAGUAGUGAAAGAUAAGAAAAUCGUGGCGAAAAUCUUGAGAACGCUGACUCCGCAAUUCGACCAUAUCGUGGUAGCUAUUGAAGAAAGCAAGGAUGUGGAGAAAAUGAAGAUUGAAGAACUGCAGAACUCGUUGGAAUCACACGAACAACGUCUUCUUGAAAGAAAGAAGCCAGAGAAGGAAGUUGGUCUUGAUUCUAAUCAGGCACUACAAGCUAGAGGCAAUUUUAAACCCAGAGGACGUGGCUCUGGAAGAGGCAGAGGUAGAUCUCGGGGAGGCAGAUCUGGAGGAAGGAANNCGAACUUUUCCGAUCAGAAUGUNGGAGAAGAAGGNGNCNAUAGCAAAAGGGGUGGAAAGCAAAUCUCAAGAGGAAGAGGUAGAAAGAAUACAGAUAAGAGAAACAUCCAAUGCUAUACAUGCAGUAAGUAUGGACACUACUCAAGUGAAUGUUGGCACAAUGAAACCGUAAAGAAGACCAAAGAGGAUGAAGCGAAUCUGGCACAGGAAACAGAAGCAGGUGAUUCUGAUUUGGAUCAUGUUCUUCUUAUGAGUACUAUAGUUGUUGAUAAAGAAAUGCAGCGGUGGAAGUCAACACAAGAAAAGGAGACUUGCAAUAAAGACAGAUGUCAAGAAACAAUCGAACACGUGUUAUUGUCACAUGAUGCAGGACAUGCAGAAGAAGAAGAUACUUGGUAUUUGGACACGGGUUGCUCCAACCACAUGACAGGAAAGAAGGAGUGGCUGAUCGACUUAAAUCCGAAUGUCAGAAGCACCGUAAGAUUCGCUGAUAACAGCGUUAUAAUGGCUGAAGGUGCUGGAAGAGUUUUAAUCAAACGUAAGGAUGGACAACCAGCAUUCAUGAACAACGUGCUGUAUGUACCAAAUAUGAAGACCAAUCUGCUUAGCCUUGGGCAAUUGCUAGAAAAAGGCUAUACUAUAAACAUGCAUCAAAAGCACAUAGAAGUAUUUGAUAACAGAAGGCGUUUCGUGCUCAAAGCUCCGUUGUCCAGAAACAGAACUUUCAAGGUGAAGCUUAAUGCUGCAGCUGUUCAAUGCCUAUCAUCUAUCAGUACCAAGGAAGAAGAGUGGCUAUGGCAUCACCGCUAUGGACAUCUAAACUUCAGAAGCUUGAAGCAGUUGAAGGAUAAAGAGAUGGUGGAAGGAAUUCCUGAGAUUCACUCACCAAGAAAGAUAUGUGAAGGUUGUGUAGUUGGAAAGCAGACUAGAAAACAAUUCAAGAAAACGGCACAUAAGAAGGCCAAGCAACCUCUUGAAUUAGUUUAUUCAGACGUGUGUGGACCCUUCGAGCAAGAAUCUAUUGGAGGUAAUAAGUAUUUCCUUAUCUUUGUUGAUGAAUGGACCAGGAAAAUCUGGAUUUAUCUGAUUAAGGAAAAGAAAACUGUUUACUCAUGCUUUGUCAAAUUUUGUGUCAUGGUGGAGAGACAAUCUGGACUGCGUAUCAAGACACUCAGAACUGACGGUGGAGGAGAGUUCAACUCUCACGAAAUGAACAAGUACUGUAGUGACAGUGGCAUAACACAUGAAGUUGUUGCUCCCUACACUCCACAACACAACGGAUUGGCCGAACGAAGAAAUAGAACACUGCUGGACAUGACCCGGUGUAUGUUAAAAUGCAAGAAAUUGCCAGACUACUUGUGGGGAGAAGCUGUCUCCACAGCGACGUAUCUCUUAAACAGAAGCCCAACAAGAGUCUUAGAAAACUGCACACCAGAGGAAGCCUGGACAGGUAUUAAACCAACUGUUAAUCAUUUUAAAGUUUUUGGUUCAGUGUGUUACAGGCACAUCCCAGACGCAAAGAGGAAGAAGUUAGACGAUAGAAGCGAGACUUUUAUCUUCAUAGGAUACCAUUCCACAGGUGCAUACAGGCUAUACAAUCCAACGAAUAGACAAAUCGUGAUAAGCAGAGACAUUAUUGUCGAUGAGAGAACCACGUUUGAUUGGAAGAAGUUCGAAACAGAUCAAGAGAAGCCUGCUGUUACUUCAAGCUGGUUGGAAGAUUGGACCCCUGAUGAUAAGCAAGCUGAAACACAUGACAAUAUGGAUAAUAGGAGAUCACAGAGGACGAGAUUUCCAUCCUCAAGAUUAGCUGACUAUGAAGUGUUUACUGACAAUGAUGUAGCUGACCCUGGAGAUCAAGCACACAUCGCGUUUCUUNCUGAUGCAGAAAUAAUCAACUGGAAACAAGCUCUUGGCAUAAAGGAAUGGAAAGAAGCCAUGAUUGAAGAAUUAAAAGCUAUCGAGAAAAACAAAACUUGGGAAUUGGUAGAGCUGCCUCGACNAAAACAAGCAAUUGAAGUNAAGUGGGUCUUCAAGACGAAGUUUAAACCAAAUGGUGAGGUUGCUAANNUCAAAGCAAGACUUGUAGCGAAGGGAUUUCUACAAANACCGNGAAUAGACUUCACAGAAGUGUUUGCUCCAGUCGCAAGGCUAGAAACNGUAAGAUUAAUGGUUGCUCUAGCAAAUCUCAAGANNUGGGAAAUACAUCAACUAGAUGUUAAAUCGGCAUUUCUGAAUGGACCUCUGAAGGAAGAAGUUUAUGUAAGACAACCGCCUGGUUUCGAAAGGAAGGGUGAAGAACACAAGGUUUACAGGUUAAACAAAGCUCUGUAUGGACUAAGGCAAGCACCGCNAGCCUGGAAUGAACACAUCAACGCGCUACUUCUGAAACUUGGCUGUAUAAAGUCCUCAGUGGAAUCUGGGAUGUAUAUAAAAUCAGUAGCACAGCAGAUUGUUUUAGUGAUAUGUCUAUACGUCGAUGAUAUGCUUGUAACUGGAAAUUCUAAAACGGCGGUUGAGGAAUUCAAGACGAGGAUGAGGGCAGAAUACGAUAUGACUGAUCUUGGAAAACUUAACUACUUUCUCGGUUUGGAAUUUACUGAAACAACAAGUGGANNNNNNNNNNNNNNNNNNNNNNNNNNNNNNNNNNNNNNNNNNNNNNNNNNNNNNNNNNNNNNNNNNNNNNNNNNNNNNNNNNNNNNNNNNNNNNNNNNNNNNNNNNNNNNNNNNNNNNNNNNNNNNNNNNNNNNNNNNNNNNNNNNNNNNNNNNNNNNNNNNNNNNNNNNNNNNNNNNNNNNNNNNNNNNNNNNNNNNNNNNNNNNNNNNNNNNNNNNNNNNNNNNNNNNNNNNNNNNNNNNNNNNNNNNNNNNNNNNNNNNNNNNNNNNNNNNNNNNNNNNNNNNNNNNNNNNNNNNNNNNNNNNNNNNNNNNNNNNNNNNNNNNNNNNNNNNNNNNNNNNNNNNNNNNNNNNNNNNNNNNNNNNNNNNNNNNNNNNNNNNNNNNNNNNNNNNNNNNNNNNNNNNNNNNNNNNNNNNNNNNNNNNNNNNNNNNNNNNNNNNNNNNNNNNNNNNNNNNNNNNNNNNNNNNNNNNNNNNNNNNNNNNNNNNNNNNNNNNNNNNNNNNNNNNNNNNNNNNNNNNNNNNNNNNNNNNNNNNNNNNNNNNNNNNNNNNNNNNNNNNNNNNNNNNNNNNNNNNNNNNNNNNNNNNNNNNNNNNNNNNNNNNNNNNNNNNNNNNNNNNNNNNNNNNNNNNNNNNNNNNNNNNNNNNNNNNNNNNNNNNNNNNNNNNNNNNNNNNNNNNNNNNNNNNNNNNNNNNNNNNNNNNNNNNNNNNNNNNNNNNNNNNNNNNNNNNNNNNNNNNNNNNNNNNNNNNNNNNNNNNNNNNNNNNNNNNNNNNNNNNNNNNNNNNNNNNNNNNNNNNNNNNNNNNNNNNNNNNNNNNNNNNNNNNNNNNNNNNNNNNNNNNNNNNNNNNNNNNNNNNNNNNNNNNNNNNNNNNNNNNNNNNNNNNNNNNNNNNNNNNNNNNNNNNNNNNNNNNNNNNNNNNNNNNNNNNNNNNNNNNNNNNNNNNNNNNNNNNNNNNNNNNNNNNNNNNNNNNNNNNNNNUUCAGUCUCUUCCAGUGUUACACGUUAUCUCUUUUUUCAUUCUCUGCAUCACGUUCUGUCUCUCUCACACACUGCCACGCUAUCCGCUAACAGUGAAUAGAAGUGGAAUUUGGAAACCAAGCAUGUGCCCUCAUUGCGGUAACAAUAGGAGGGAGUAUAGCAGAAUGUUUGGGCAGUCUGAUAGUGAAGACAAUGACCAUGGCAGGCCACAAAAUGCAGUAACCAUUGAAAAUAGUGGAAGGUUCCGAGGGCAUGGUUGUGGUGCUCGGGUAGGCCGAGAUUUCUAUGUUUUUAAUUGAGAAAACCUUCUUGGUGUAUAUGUACUUUUACUUUUAUGAUUAUGUUCAUGUUACUCUCUCUCAAAGAAACGUUAACAUAAUAUUUUUUUUGGGUGUGACUUUGGUGUCUUUUGGGACUUUUUUCAUCGAAAAAUUAUGAGAAUAGAUAUAUUUUAAAAAGGUAAGAAGUUUAGGGAAGAAAGUAAGAAGUUGUUUCAGAAGAAGGAUUACGAAGGCGCCAUGUUCAAGUACGAGAAGACACUGAAGCUGCUUCUAAAGAACCACAUAGAUGUUGCACACCUUCAUACCAACAUAGCCACAUAUUACACGCAAUUGGGUAUCAAGGAAUACCCUCGAGCCAUUCACAAAUGCAAUUUCCCGUUGGAAGUGUCUCCAAUACUAUCAUGAGGUAAAAAAAAACAAAAAAAAAAACUUUAAACUUUGAUAAAUUUUUAAAAACACAAAAUAAUGAAAUUAAAAAAUUAUAACACCAUUAAAAAAGAGUUAAUUGAGAGAAUGCAAAGACUAAAAAAAACUAAAUAUAAUUUAAUAUAUUACCAAUCGUAAACAAUAUUACAACCUAUUAAUUUGGGUUGAAUUCUACACUUUUUUUAUUUAACGAUUGGAUUCUUAUUUUUCACUUUUUUUUCCAAUGUACAUUUAUUCUUUUUUACUUUGAUCCACUAUUUUUUUUUUCAAGAUCAAGAUAAAUAGUUAAUUGGAUCGUAAUUAACAAAAAAACAAACAAAUAAAUAAAUAAUUUUUACAAAUCAAAUAUAGAAUUACACAAAUUAGAAAAGAAUACAAAAAAUAUGAAAAAUUAAAAAUUCAAUGAAAUUAGAUAAAAUAUUGGGUUUUUUUUAAUAGGACAGAAAAAUAAGAUAAAAGAGGAUAUUCAAAUUAAAAUCUUGUUCUAGAUACUAGAUGAUGUUAUUAUUUGAUAAAAAUCAGAAUUAUUAUCCAAAAACUAAGAUAAUCUCCCUUAAAAAUGCAAAUGCAUAUAUUAUAAUUCAAAAAUGUCUACAAUGUACUUAGUACCGUUAUAUAGACACAAAUAUUCAAAACACCUAAGUCUAAAGAUAUUGAGUCUAAAAAUAAUUCAAAAAUUAAAAAUAAAACUUAAACAAAUUAUUUGCAAUUAAAAAAAUUAUAAAUAUUUUUAAUUGUCUAAAUUACUGUAAAAUUAUGCUCCAAUUUAUAAUCUUGAUGUCCUUUGUAUUAUUCCCCAUAUCUAAUUCUCUUUCAUAUUUUCUAAGCCACUUUUCUUUUUCCUUUGAUUCUUUAAUCUUCCACUUGCUACACUCAUUUAAUUACAAGACCUAGCCUAUGAUUGAUGAUAAGCACAUGUAAAUUUAACUUUUAUAUCUAAUGUGGGUGAUGCACGAAUAUAUUGAAAGAGAAAAAUGGUUUGGAAAAAUAUGAAGAGAAUUAGAUGCUACUGAAUUAAUAAGCUGAGUGCUUCCUUAUAGUGAGCGAAAAUAUGAUUCUAUAAUCAGUGUAUGAAUAUAGUUUUGGGAUAUGAACAUCUCAACCUUGCUCCCACCUUUACUUGAGUUUUGUUGGAAUUGGUCAACAAAUAAUUAGUUUUUGAUGGAGAAGCCGUAUUGUCUUUUAGAAAGAAACAUUAAAGCUAAUAAAUUUUAAGCAUUUCAAAAUUAUAGAAAACAAAAAGGUGAGAAUUAGAAAUAAAGCAUGCAUCUGUAAAUGCAAAAGUUUUUUAUGUAUUCAAAAUGAGAAAACAAAAGAGUGACAAAAUAAUAUUUUAUUUUUCUAGAUUUAUUUGGCUUCUGAGAUGAGUGUUUUCUAAAUACUAUUUUGCAAUUUUUCAAAUAAAUGUUCUGCAGUAACCUGAAGAGGUUUAGGGUUUAUGUGUAGUUAUUAUGUAUCUACUUUGUAUAAAUCUGAUUAUAAGAAAAUGUGUGUUGUUUCCUAACAAGUUUCUCAUUAUAUUUUUUGAAUAAUUGCAUAUUACCUUGUUCAUCUAAUCCAUUCCAACGUUUUGUGAUGUGCUGCAUCUAUUCUGCACACAGAAAGAUGGUAGUCUUCCAUUUCAAUGCCAUCUUCAACUUGGAACAUAUGCUACCAUCAAAAGGGUUGAAUUUUCACACACAGCUGAAGGGUCAAAGUGCAACCUCGCGUUAGGAAGACGUGUUACUAAAGACGGCAAUCUCAACCUAGUAUCGUUCUUACCCAUGACAGCAUAAUAUGUUCAGACAAAGAAAAGCAAUCCCUGAACAUACUCAAACCCGAUAUCCAUUUUCUUUUCCUGUUCAACUCUAACAUCGCGUGGACAAAGACAAAGAACGUUCAUGCAAGGGAUGGCGUUACGGACAGCAUAAAUUCAAUUUUAAAUUAUAAAGAAUAGUAAUAGAAAGUGAUUUUUAAACUAGAAUUGAGUUGUGCUAAAAACUACCCUAAACUGGUUUUGAAACUAUACUGUUAAAGAAAGAAACUAACACUGCGUUAUAGAAUUGAAAAGUAAAUGGAUCAAGAAUCAAAGAAACAAGAAAUGGAAGAAUAAAAAACAGCAUAAACACCAGACAAAGAAAAGUGGUUUUGGAAAAAUGAUAGAGAGAAUUAGAUGCUACUGAAUUAUUAUAAUAAUAAGCUGAAGAACAACGCUUCCCUUAGUGAGAGUGAAAAUAUGAUUCUAUAAUCAGUUUAUUUAUAGUUUUGGCAUGUGAACAUCCCAACCAUGCUCACCACAGAACACAAUAUGUACCUAGUUUACUUGAGUUUUCCAUUAGUUUUUUGAAUAACUGCACGUUACCUUCUUCAACUGAUCAUUCCAUCAUUUUGUGGUGUGCUGCAUCUAUUCUACUCACAAAAAAGAUGGGAAACAACAACGUUGCUUGUUUUCUCCGUCUAAGAGGGAGUCUUCCAUUUCCAUCCCAUAUUCAACUGGGAACAGAUGCUACCAUCAACAUGAAGAAAUCUAUCUUUCCCUGUCUUGGAGCAUUCAUCGAAGAAAACGCAGAAGUUUUAUACACCGUUGAAGGGUCAAAGUGCAAACUCUCGUUAGGAAGGAAGGUUUGGUCUGACGGCGAUGUGGAGAAUGUAUCGUUACUUCUCCAUGACAGCAUAAUACGUUCAAACGUGGAAGACCUAUACCUGCCGAUAUGGAAAUUGGAAACUGGUUUGCUUUACACGCCCGAUGCGUUUACGUAUCGCAUCGAGUGGACGAAGACAAGGAAGAAGGUUGAUGCAAGGGGUGGUGUUACGGACACCAAAGUUUACUUGUAUGGCACUGCAAACAGGUGUGGUCUUCUUGUUUUUGAGUGCAAGAAAAACAAUUAUCAUGAACGUGAUGCAAAGGCAGUGACUAUAGCACACUAUUUUGUUAGCAGUAAAGGAUCAUUGGGUGUUAACAGAUCAAAUGAAACAACAGAUAUUGGAUUUUCUGUUGUGGCAAAGGUUGGAAUUUCUGAUGAUAAGUUUGAUAUAACAGUGGAGGGUCCUGAUCCACACCCUGUUUCUGCAUUAUUAUACAUGUUCAAUGAAGUUAAUAGAAGUGGGAUUUGGAAGCCAAGUAUAUGCCCUCAUUGUCGUAACAAUCGGAGGGAGUAUAGCAGAAUGUUUUCGCAGUCUGACAGUGAAGACGAAGUUGUUCCCUUCCCAUCACGUCUUGGUAGCCAGCGAAAUAUAGCAACCAUUGCCAACGAUGGAAGGUUCACAGGGCAUGCUAAUGGUAGUUACAUCAGAUGCAGAAAUUUCUAUGGUUUUAGUUGAGUGAAGAUAUCCUAACUUUGUGUGUUUCUCUCUCAAUAUAUAAUUUGAAUAAUGUGUUAGUAUUGUUGAAUUUUAAGUUUGAAUGUACUACAAAUGUAUCUCAAGUCUAAAGAUGAAAUGUGUUGUAUUUUUUCUUAUCGUUUCAUUCAAUUUAACUAUUUUUUAAAUUUAAAUAAAUAAAAAUCAUCUACUAAAUAAAUAAAAUUCUACAAAAUGAGUAAAAACUAUCGAUAAUUAUAUUGUAAAAAUUAUUUAUAUUUAUUUUUAUAGUUAUAAUUUUAUUAUUGUUUUGUUAUCACAAAAUGACAUGUGUUCACUGGUUAAGUUCUAAGUUACUGAUAAAUGAAUAUGAGAGUUUCUAUUAGAUUUGUGUAGUUGAGUUUUUCUUAGAUUGUCUUCAUCUCUCAUAUUUGUUCGCUUUUUGUUUUUAAAGGUAGAAAGAAGUUAGACACAAACUUAUUAUUUUUGCUUUCAUAUUUUCUCUAUUAUAUUUUAAGAAAGAAAAAAGAUAACUCUAAUUUUACUUACUAGUAAAAUAUUAGUUUAAUAAUUAACAAAUUUUAAUCCUUAGAUUUUAGUAAACAUUGAGGAAAUAUGCAUUCUUGUAAACAAAUUUUAUUCUUUCGGUUUUAGUGAGUAAAAGAAAUAUUAGUUUAAAUUUUCAAUUUCAAAUAUUUGAUUAUUGAUGCUCCUAACCAUCAAGAUUUGAAGAAUUUAAUAACCAUCCUUUGAAUUAUGUCAUUCUUUGGCAAUAACAAAAAAGUUAAGGACAUUUUACUUUAUGGCCAGUCUACUUCAUCUUAUUUUUUCCUUUUAUCAAAUGAGUAAUGGUAUGGUCAUUUGAUAUAUGCUAGAGGCAAAAUAGUCAUAGUGAACUUUUGUAUUUGUAAAGAAAAUAAAGAUUAAAAGGUAAGGAGAGAUACUCUCAAAUAUGUAAAAAAAAUUGUGUCAAAAUAUUAUUAUUUUUAUUAAAUCCAUAAGCUAUGGUUAUGUGAAAAAUGUAGAUACACGAAAAAACAACAUUGAUAUGAGAAAAAUACAACACAAAAUACACAAUUCCUAGGUUACAAGAAAAGGUUGUGACUUACGAGGGAACAAUACCAAUGUGAAAACUUCAGUAUAACAUGGAAUGAAGAUUGACAUAAGAAACAUAGUUUCUUCUCCCCUAUGUUGUUUCUUGUAGCUAUAUUACUGAAACACAUCAUAUACACACACAAAGACAUUUAAUCCAUUUGGGUUGGAUUCAACCACUUUCCAUCUUGCUUGUUUUGGCUAAACAUCUUAUACAAAAAUCAUAAUCUUUGACUGUUCUUAAUGGGAUAAAAAUGAUAAAAUCUCAUCAAUGUAAGAGAAAUGGACAAACAUUGAAUUCUUCGUUCAAAUCUAAGACAGAAAAUUAGGUGUCACCAUUAUAAUCAGAUUAGAAACUAUAUAGAUUUAACUCAUUAAUAUUCAAAGUAAAAUAUUAUUUUAAGAGAGCUUUUAUAAAUACAUUCAUGAUAACUGUAGUUAAUAUAUAUAUAAAAUAUUGAAUGUUGAAGAAAUUUAAAGGAGCUCUGAAAGGACAAUUCCUCCUGCUAAAAAUAUAAUUUUCAAACAUAAAUAUAUUUGGUUGCAGAGUAUAUUUUAUUCAUUUAAAAAUAUUAUAAACUCAAUUUUAAAUUAUAAAAAAAAUACUAAGAGAAAGUGGUUUUGAAAACUAGAAUUGAGUUGUGCUAAAAACCACCUUUAAACUGGUUUUGAAACUAUAUAUACUGUUAAAGAAAGUAACAUUGCGUUAUAUAUAGAAUUGAAAAGUAGAUGGAUCAAGAAUCAAAGAAACACGAAGUGGAAGAAUAAAAACAGCAUAAACACCAGAAAAAGAAGAUUGGUUUGGAAAAAAAUGCAGAGAAUUAGAUGCUAUUGGAUUAUAAUAAUAAGCUAAAGAACAACGCUUCCCGCUUCCCUUAGUGAGAGUGAAAAUAUGAUUCUAUAUAAUCAGUUUAUUUAUAGUUUUGGCAUGUGAACAUCCAAACCAUGCUCAUCACAGAACACAAAAUGUACCUAGUUUACUUGACUUUUCCAUUAGUUUUGUGAAUAACUGCACAUUACCUUCUUUAACUCAUCCAUUCUAUCUUUUUGUGGUGUGCUGCAUCUAUUCUACACACAGAAAAGAUGGGAAACAACAACGUUGCUUGUUUUCUCCGUCUAAGAGGGAGUCUUCCAUUUCCAUCCACUCUUCAACUGGGAACAUAUGCUGCCAUCAACAUAAAGACAUCUAUCUCUAACAGGUAUGGUGAUGGAUCAUAUGUCGAAAAUACAGAAGUUUUAUACACCGUUGAAGGGUCAAAGUGCAAACUCGUAUUAGGAAGGACUGUUAGCGGUGACGGAAAUGUCAACCCGCUAUCGUUCGAAUUCCAUGACAGCAUAAUAUCUUCAGACAAAAGAGACCCAGUCCUGCCGAUAGGCAAAGCGGGAACUGGUUUGUUCUGCCUGUGGUUUACGUUUUCCAUCCCCUGGACGAAGACAAGGAGAAACGUUGAUGCAUGGGGUGGUGUUACGGACACCAAAGUUUACUUAUAUGGCACUCCAAACAGGUGUGGUCUUCUUGUUUUUGAGUGCAAGAAAAACGAUUAUCAUGAACCUAAUGCUAAGGCACUGACUAUAGCACACUAUUUUGUUAGUAGUAACGGAACAGUGGCUGUUAACAAAUCAAGUGAAACAACAGAUAUUGGAUUUUCUGUUGUGACAAAGGUUGGAGUCUGUGAUGGAAAGUUUGAUAUAACAGUGGAGGGUCCUGAACGACACCCUGUUUCUGCAUUAUUAUACAUGUUUAGUGAAGUGAGUAGAAGUGGGAUUUGGAAGCCGAGCAUGUGCCCUCAUUGUUGUAACAAUCGGAGGGAGCAUAGCAGAAUGUUUUCGCAGUCUGACAGUGAAGACGAUGUUGUUCCCUUCCCACCACGUCUUGGUAGCCAGCAAAAUAUAGCAACCAUUGCCAACGAUGGAAGGUUCACAGGGCAUGCUAGUGGUAGUUUCAUCAGAUGCAGAAAUUUCUAUGGUUUUAAUUGAGUGAAGAUCCUAACUUUGUGCGUUUCUCUCCCAAUAUAUAUGUUGAAUAAUGUGUUAGUCUUGUAGAAUUUUAAGAAUGUUUCAAUGUACUACAAAAUGUGUUGUAUUUGGAGUUUCAACAAUCAUAUGAUUGCAGACAAAGAAUGACAAAUUGUAAUCCGAUCCUUUUUCAUGUUGAAAAUAGGUAAUAAAAAGGAGCAUUAUUCUUCCACAUAUAUCAAUUCAAUCAUCUACCUAUUAUUCUCC
RNAcentral lists this long non-coding RNA (20718 nucleotides) under Vigna radiata. RNAcentral's name for it is "long non-coding RNA (VRAD_LNC000178)". The record is from RNAcentral. Lineage: Eukaryota; Viridiplantae; Streptophyta; Magnoliopsida; Fabales; Fabaceae.